RNAcentral lists this ribosomal RNA (159 nucleotides) under uncultured bacterium. Its description in RNAcentral is "partial 16S ribosomal RNA". It matches the Rfam family "Bacterial small subunit ribosomal RNA", at positions 331 to 501 of the family's 1533-position model. The record is from RNAcentral.
CGCCCUUCCUACGGGAGGCAGCAGUGGGGAAUUUUGGACAAUGGGCGCAAGCCUGAUCCAGCCAUGCCGCGUGCGGGAAGAAGGCCUUCGGGUUGUAAACCGCUUUUGUCAGGGAAGAAAUCUUCUGGGUUAAUACCUCGGGAGGAUGNCGGNCCNNAG